Molecule: ribosomal RNA, 2899 nt
Filed under: Klebsiella pneumoniae
Lineage: Bacteria; Pseudomonadati; Pseudomonadota; Gammaproteobacteria; Enterobacterales; Enterobacteriaceae
Description: 23S ribosomal RNA
Rfam family: Bacterial large subunit ribosomal RNA
Source: RNAcentral
UUAAGCGACUAAGCGUACACGGUGGAUGCCCUGGCAGUCAGAGGCGAUGAAGGACGUGCUAAUCUGCGAAAAGCGUCGGUAAGGUGAUAUGAACCGUUAUAACCGGCGAUGUCCGAAUGGGGAAACCCAGUGCAAUUCGUUGCACUAUCGUUAACUGAAUACAUAGGUUAACGAGGCGAACCGGGGGAACUGAAACAUCUAAGUACCCCGAGGAAAAGAAAUCAACCGAGAUUCCCCCAGUAGCGGCGAGCGAACGGGGAGCAGCCCAGAGUCUGAAUCAGCUUGUGUGUUAGUGGAACGGUCUGGAAAGUCCGACGGUACAGGGUGAUAGUCCCGUACACCAAAAUGCACAGGCUGUGAACUCGAAGAGUAGGGCGGGACACGUGGUAUCCUGUCUGAAUAUGGGGGGACCAUCCUCCAAGGCUAAAUACUCCUGACUGACCGAUAGUGAACCAGUACCGUGAGGGAAAGGCGAAAAGAACCCCGGCGAGGGGAGUGAAAAAGAACCUGAAACCGUGUACGUACAAGCAGUGGGAGCACCUUCGGGUGUGACUGCGUACCUUUUGUAUAAUGGGUCAGCGACUUAUAUUCUGUAGCAAGGUUAACCGUAUAGGGGAGCCGCAGGGAAACCGAGUCUUAACUGGGCGUUAAGUUGCAGGGUAUAGACCCGAAACCCGGUGAUCUAGCCAUGGGCAGGUUGAAGGUUGGGUAACACUAACUGGAGGACCGAACCGACUAAUGUUGAAAAAUUAGCGGAUGACUUGUGGCUGGGGGUGAAAGGCCAAUCAAACCGGGAGAUAGCUGGUUCUCCCCGAAAGCUAUUUAGGUAGCGCCUCGUGAAUUCAUCUUCGGGGGUAGAGCACUGUUUCGGCUAGGGGGUCAUCCCGACUUACCAACCCGAUGCAAACUACGAAUACCGAAGAAUGUUAUCACGGGAGACACACGGCGGGUGCUAACGUCCGUCGUGAAGAGGGAAACAACCCAGACCGCCAGCUAAGGUCCCAAAGUCAUGGUUAAGUGGGAAACGAUGUGGGAAGGCACAGACAGCCAGGAUGUUGGCUUAGAAGCAGCCAUCAUUUAAAGAAAGCGUAAUAGCUCACUGGUCGAGUCGGCCUGCGCGGAAGAUGUAACGGGGCUAAACCAUGCACCGAAGCUGCGGCAGCGACACUAUGUGUUGUUGGGUAGGGGAGCGUUCUGUAAGCCUGCGAAGGUGACCUGUGAGGGUUGCUGGAGGUAUCAGAAGUGCGAAUGCUGACAUAAGUAACGAUAAAGCGGGUGAAAAGCCCGCUCGCCGGAAGACCAAGGGUUCCUGUCCAACGUUAAUCGGGGCAGGGUGAGUCGACCCCUAAGGCGAGGCCGAAAGGCGUAGUCGAUGGGAAACAGGUUAAUAUUCCUGUACUUGGUGUUACUGCGAAGGGGGGACGGAGAAGGCUAUGUUAGCCGGGCGACGGUUGUCCCGGUUUAAGCAUGUAGGCUGAUUGUCCAGGCAAAUCCGGAUAAUCAAGGCUGAGGUGUGAUGACGAGGCACUACGGUGCUGAAGUAACAAAUGCCCUGCUUCCAGGAAAAGCCUCUAAGCAUCAGGUAACAUUAAAUCGUACCCCAAACCGACACAGGUGGUCAGGUAGAGAAUACCAAGGCGCUUGAGAGAACUCGGGUGAAGGAACUAGGCAAAAUGGUGCCGUAACUUCGGGAGAAGGCACGCUGGUGUGUAGGUGAAGUCCCUGCGGAUGGAGCUGAGACCAGUCGAAGAUACCAGCUGGCUGCAACUGUUUAUUAAAAACACAGCACUGUGCAAACACGAAAGUGGACGUAUACGGUGUGACGCCUGCCCGGUGCCGGAAGGUUAAUUGAUGGGGUUAUCCGUAAGGAGAAGCUCUUGAUCGAAGCCCCGGUAAACGGCGGCCGUAACUAUAACGGUCCUAAGGUAGCGAAAUUCCUUGUCGGGUAAGUUCCGACCUGCACGAAUGGCGUAAUGAUGGCCAGGCUGUCUCCACCCGAGACUCAGUGAAAUUGAACUCGCUGUGAAGAUGCAGUGUACCCGCGGCAAGACGGAAAGACCCCGUGAACCUUUACUAUAGCUUGACACUGAACAUUGAGCCUUGAUGUGUAGGAUAGGUGGGAGGCUUUGAAGCGUGGACGCCAGUCUGCGUGGAGCCAACCUUGAAAUACCACCCUUUAAUGUUUGAUGUUCUAACGUUGGCCCCUUACCGGGGUUGCGGACAGUGUCUGGUGGGUAGUUUGACUGGGGCGGUCUCCUCCCAAAGCGUAACGGAGGAGCACGAAGGUUAGCUAAUCCUGGUCGGACAUCAGGAGGUUAGUGCAAUGGCAUAAGCUAGCUUGACUGCGAGCGUGACGGCGCGAGCAGGUGCGAAAGCAGGUCAUAGUGAUCCGGUGGUUCUGAAUGGAAGGGCCAUCGCUCAACGGAUAAAAGGUACUCCGGGGAUAACAGGCUGAUACCGCCCAAGAGUUCAUAUCGACGGCGGUGUUUGGCACCUCGAUGUCGGCUCAUCACAUCCUGGGGCUGAAGUAGGUCCCAAGGGUAUGGCUGUUCGCCAUUUAAAGUGGUACGCGAGCUGGGUUUAGAACGUCGUGAGACAGUUCGGUCCCUAUCUGCCGUGGGCGCUGGAGAAUUGAGGGGGGCUGCUCCUAGUACGAGAGGACCGGAGUGGACGCAUCACUGGUGUUCGGGUUGUCAUGCCAAUGGCACUGCCCGGUAGCUAAAUGCGGAAGAGAUAAGUGCUGAAAGCAUCUAAGCACGAAACUUGCCCCGAGAUGAGUUCUCCCUGAGACUUUAAGUCUCCUGAAGGAACGUUAAAGACGAUGACGUUGAUAGGCCGGGUGUGUAAGCGCAGCGAUGCGUUGAGCUAACCGGUACUAAUGAACCGUGAGGCUUAACCU